GGGCUCCUUGAGCAGAGUUUUGCCCAAGUGGGGUUCAUGAGGGAGGAUGGAGUUUCUUGGGACCACUCAGACCACCAGUUACUGUGGUCCCAAGAAAUGCUGUGGUUUGACCUCACUGCCAGCUGUACAGGCGCCAGUGAUCCAGGAGUGCUGUCAGCCCUACCACCUGCCCGGGUACCACUACCUCAAUUCUCAGAGGCCUAGCCUCUUCUACAAGACAGCCAAUGUCCAGACCUGCCCGGACGAGAGCACCAGUACCCUGCGGCCGCCCACCGUCCUGCCCGCGCUGCGCUCAGCACUCUUCUCUCGCUAUAGCACCCACGACUGGGACCAGUCCAACCAGCUGCAGGUGCGUGGGGCCGAGGACUCCCGGCUGUGGGCCAGCCGGCUGAUGGACGACUCCAUGAGGCUCUUGCAGGAGAAGGACCAGCUGACGCACCAGAUGCAGGAGGGCACCUCCUGGAACCUGGGCCAGAGGCUGUCAGACAUCGGCUUCUGGAAGUCGGAGCUGAGCUAUGAGCUGGACAGGCUUCUUACUGAGAACCAGAACUUGGAGACAGUCAAGAGGCGGCUGGAGUGCGCGGCCGGUGAGGUGAACUGCCCAUUGCAGGUGGCCUUGGAGUGUCUGUACCAACGAGAGAAGAGGAUGGGAAUUGAUUUGGUCCAUGACAACGUGGAGAAAAACCUUAUCCGGGAAGUGGAUUUGCUAAAAUGUUGCCAAGAACAGAUGAGAAAAUUAGCUCAAAGAAUUGAUAUCCAGAUGCGAGAUAACCGAGAUGCUCAGCACGCACUGGAGAAGGACCUCGAGGACAAAAGGUCGGCCCAGUGCAUCGAUGAGAAGUGCUUUAACCUGAGAAAUACAUCAGACUGCAUCAGCUUCUUCCACGGCAUGGAGAAAAUUGAUGGCACGAUCUCCGUACCCGAGACCUGGGCCAAGUUCAGUAACGACAACAUCAAACACUCUCAGAACAUUCGGGCCAAGUCCAUCCGGCUGCGGGAGGAGGCGGAGCACCUCUUUCAGACCUUGUCGGAUCAGAUGUGGAGGCAGUUCACAGACACCAACCUGGCCUUCAACACCCGCAUCUCCGAGAUGACGGAUGUGAAGAAUAAGCUGCAGACACAGCUGGCAAAGACGCUGCAGGAGAUCUUCCAGGCCGAGAACACCAUCAUGCUGCUGGAAAGAUCCAUCAAGGCCAAGGAGGGCCCAUUGAAGGUGGCCCAGACGAGGCUGGAGUGCCGGACCUGGCGCCCCAACAUGGAGCUGUGCAGGGACAUCCCACAGUUCAAGUGAAUAAUCUCCCAUUUUGUGGCUCGAUUACACUGUGCUUAUCCACUCAUCCAUCCAUCCAUGGACAUUUGAGCUGCUUCCACCUUUUGGCUAUUGUCAAUAGGGCUGCUGUGAACAUUCAUGUACACAUUUUGGUUUGAACAACUGUUUUCCGUUCUUUUGGGUACAUACCCAGGAGCAGAACUGCUGGACUGUAUGGCUGGUGAACGAGGUGUUCACCAUCGACGACACCCUGCAGACCCUCAAGCUGCGGCUGCGGGAGACGCAGGACACACUGCAGCUGCUGGUCAUGACCAAGUGCCGGCUGGAGCACGAGCUCGCCAUCAAAGCCAACACCCU
RNA transcript from Symphalangus syndactylus (siamang), 1627 nucleotides. It is a transcript of the gene named tektin 5, with no coding region annotated. The record is from RefSeq and is a predicted model, not a curated record. NCBI's taxonomy places the organism in Eukaryota, Metazoa, Chordata, Mammalia, Primates, Hylobatidae.